UACGUAGGGGGCGAGCGUUGUCCGGAAUUAUUGGGCGUAAAGGGUUCGUAGGCGGUUAUUUAAGUCAGAUGUGAAAGGCAUAGGCUCAACCUGUGUAAGCAUUUGAAACUGAGUAACUUGAGUUAAGGAGAGGAAAGUGGAAUUCCUAGUGUAGCGGUGAAAUGCGUAGAUAUUAGGAGGAACACCAGUGGCGAAGGCGGCUUUCUGGACGGUAACUGACGCUGAGGCGCGAAAGCGUGGGGAGCAAACAGGAUUAGAUACCCGGGUAGUCCCUGAGCGGGCUGG
RNAcentral lists this ribosomal RNA (285 nucleotides) under uncultured prokaryote. RNAcentral's name for it is "partial 16S ribosomal RNA". It matches the Rfam family "Bacterial small subunit ribosomal RNA", at positions 524 to 819 of the family's 1533-position model. The record is from RNAcentral.